GAUAAACGCUGGCGGUGUACAUAAGACAUGCAAGUCGAACGGGAGAAGACAGGAAGAUUUAUCUACUUGUUGGACACCGUGGCGGACGGGUGAGUAACACGUAAGCAACCUGCCUAUAAGAGGGGAAUAACAGUGAGAAAUUACUGAUAAUACCGCAUAAGCUGGAGGUAUCGCAUGAUACAUUCAGAAAAGAUUUAUCGCUUAUAGAUGGGCUUGCGUCUGAUUAGCUAGUUGGUGAGAUAACAGCUCACCAAGGCGACGAUCAGUAGCCGGAUUGAGAGGUUGAACGGCCACAUUGGGACUGAGACACGGCCCAGACUCCUACGGGAGGCAGCAGUCGGGAAUAUUGCACAAUGGAGGAAACUCUGAUGCAGUGACACCGCGUAUAGGAAGAAGGUCUUAGGAUUGUAAGCUAUUGUCGUGUGAGAAGAAAAUGACCAUCACAGGAGGAAGCCC
RNAcentral lists this ribosomal RNA (456 nucleotides) under Clostridiales bacterium oral taxon 075. Its description in RNAcentral is "bacterial SSU rRNA". It matches the Rfam family "Bacterial small subunit ribosomal RNA", at positions 28 to 493 of the family's 1533-position model. Lineage: Bacteria; Bacillati; Bacillota; Clostridia; Eubacteriales. The record is from RNAcentral.